AUUGAACGCUGGCGGCAUACUUUACACAUGCAAGUCGAACGGUAACAGGGUGCUUGCACCGCUGACGAGUGGCGAACGGGUGAGUAAUGCGUCGGAACGUGCCGAGUAGUGGGGGAUAACGCAGCGAAAGUUGUGCUAAUACCGCAUACGUACUGAGGUAGAAAGGGGGGGACCUUCGGGCCUCACGCUAUUCGAGCGGCCGACGGUGGACUAGCUAGUAGGUGAGGUACAGGCUCGCCUAGGCGACGAUCAGUAGCGGGUCUGAGAGGAUGAUCCGCCACACUGGGACUGAGACACGGCCCAGACUCCUACGGGAGGCAGCAGUGGGGAAUUUUGGACAAUGGGCGAAAGCCUGAUCCAGCCAUGCCGCGUGUCUGAAGAAGGCCUUCGGGUUGUAAAGGACUUUUGUCAGGGAGGAAAUCCCUAGUGCUAAUAACACUGGGGGAUGACAGUACCUGAAGAAUAAGCACCGGCUAACUCUGUGCCAGCCGCCGCCGUAA
This 500-nucleotide ribosomal RNA is filed under the name uncultured bacterium. RNAcentral describes it as "partial 16S ribosomal RNA". It matches the Rfam family "Bacterial small subunit ribosomal RNA", at positions 30 to 523 of the family's 1533-position model. The record is from RNAcentral.